AUUGAACGCUGGCGGCAGGCCUAACACAUGCAAGUCGAGCGGAUGAAGGGAGCUUGCGCCUGGAUUCAGCGGCGGACGGGUGAGUAAUGAAUAGGAAUCUGACUGGUAGUGGGGGAUAACGUCAGGAAACGGGCGCUAAUACAGCAUACGUCAUGAGGGAGAAAGUGGGGGAUCUUCGGAGCAAACGCUAUCAGAUGAGACUAGGUCGGAUUAGCUAGUUGGUGGGGUAAAGGCCUACCAAGGCGACGAUCCGUAACUGGUCUGAGAGGAUGAUCAGUCACACUGGAACUGAGACACGGUCCAGACUCCUACGGGAGGCAGCAGUGGGGAAUAUUCGGCAAUGGGCGAAAGCCUGAUCCAGCCAUGCCGCGUGUGUGAUGAAGGUCUUCGGAUUGUAAAGCACUUUUAGUUGGGAGGAACGGCAGUAAGUUAAUACCUUGCUGUUUUGACGUUACCAACAGAAUAAGCACCGGCUAACUUCGUG
This 484-nucleotide ribosomal RNA is filed under the name uncultured bacterium. Its description in RNAcentral is "partial 16S ribosomal RNA". It matches the Rfam family "Bacterial small subunit ribosomal RNA", at positions 30 to 507 of the family's 1533-position model. The record is from RNAcentral.